GACGAACGCUGGCGGCGUGCUUAACACAUGCAUGUCGUACGGUAAGGCCCUUUCUGGUGUACACGCGUGGCGAACGGGUGAGUAACAAGUGCGUAACCUACCCACAACUUUGGGAUAACGCUAGGAAACUGGUGCUAAUUCUGGCUAUGUAAUCCUGCUGCAUGGUGGGGGUUGGAGAGCUCGGGCGGUUGGUGAUGUACUCGCGGCCUAUCAGCUUGUUGGUGGGGUAGUGGCCUACCAAGGCGGCGCCGGGUAGCCGGCCUGAGAGGGUGACCGGAAACAGUGGGACUGGGAUACGGCCCAGACGCCGACGGGAGGCAGCAGUGGGGAAUAUUGCACAAGGGGCGCAAGCCAGAUGCAGCAACGCCGCGGGCGGGAGGACGGCCUUCGGGUUGUAAACCGCGUUCAGCAGGGACGAAGCUUUUUGUGACGGUACCUGCAGAAGAAGCACCGGCUAACUACGUG
This 465-nucleotide ribosomal RNA is filed under the name uncultured bacterium. Its description in RNAcentral is "partial 16S ribosomal RNA". It matches the Rfam family "Bacterial small subunit ribosomal RNA", at positions 28 to 507 of the family's 1533-position model. The record is from RNAcentral.